UCAACGGAGAGUUUGAUCCUGGCUCAGGACGAACGCUGGCGGCGUGCUUAACACAUGCAAGUCGAACGGUGACGGAGGAGCUUGCUCCUCCUGAUCAGUGGCGAACGGGUGAGUAACACGUGAGUAACCUGCCCCAGACUCUGGAAUAACCCCGGGAAACCGGAGCUAAUACCGGAUACGAGACGGAGAGGCAUCUCUACCGUCUGGAAAGUUUUUCGGUCUGGGAUGGACUCGCGGCCUAUCAGCUAGUUGGUGAGGUAACGGCUCACCAAGGCGACGACGGGUAGCCGGCCUGAGAGGGCGACCGGCCACACUGGGACUGAGACACGGCCCAGACUCCUACGGGAGGCAGCAGUGGGGAAUAUUGCACAAUGGGCGAAAGCCUGAUGCAGCGACGCCGCGUGAGGGAUGACGGCCUUCGGGUUGUAAACCUCUUUCAGUAGGGGAAGAAGCGAAAGUGACGGUACCUACAGAAGAAGCACCGGCUAACUACGUGCCAGCAGCCGCGGUAAUACGUAGGGUGCGAGCGUUGUCCGGAAUUAUUGGGCGUAAAGAGCUUGUAGGCGGUUUGUCGCGUCUGCCGUGAAAAUCCGGGGCUCAACUCCGGACUUGCGGUGGGUACGGGCAGACUAGAGUGUGGUAGGGGAGACUGGAAUUCCUGGUGUAGCGGUGAAAUGCGCAGAUAUCAGGAGGAACACCGAUGGCGAAGGCAGGUCUCUGGGCCACCACUGACGCUGAGAAGCGAAAGCGUGGGGAGCGAACAGGAUUAGAUACCCUGGUAGUCCACGCCGUAAACGUUGGGAACUAGGUGUGGGCCUCAUUCCACGAGGUCUGUGCCGCAGCUAACGCAUUAAGUUCCCCGCCUGGGGAGUACGGCCGCAAGGCUAAAACUCAAAGGAAUUGACGGGGGCCCGCACAAGCGGCGGAGCAUGUGGAUUAAUUCGAUGCAACGCGAAGAACCUUACCAAGGCUUGACAUAUACCGGAAACAUCUAGAGAUAGGUGCCCCCGCAAGGUCGGUAUACAGGUGGUGCAUGGUUGUCGUCAGCUCGUGUCGUGAGAUGUUGGGUUAAGUCCCGCAACGAGCGCAACCCUCGUUCUAUGUUGCCAGCGCGUAAUGGCGGGGACUCAUAGGAGACUGCCGGGGUCAACUCGGAGGAAGGUGGGGAUGACGUCAAAUCAUCAUGCCCCUUAUGUCUUGGGCUUCACACAUGCUACAAUGGCCGGUACAAAGGGCUGCGAAAUCGCGAGAUGGAGCGAAUCCCAAAAAACCGGUCUCAGUUCGGAUUGGGGUCUGCAACUCGACCCCAUGAAGUCGGAGUCGCUAGUAAUCGCAGAUCAGCAACGCUGCGGUGAAUACGUUCCCGGGCCUUGUACACACCGCCCGUCAAGUCACGAAAGUCGGUAACACCCGAAGCCGGUGGCCCAACCCUUGUGGAGGGAGCCGUCGAAGGUGGGACUGGCGAUUGGGACUAAGUCGUAACAAGGUAGCCGUACCGGAAGGUGCGGCUGGAUCACCUCCUUU
This 1524-nucleotide ribosomal RNA is filed under the name Nostocoides sp. RNAcentral's name for it is "bacterial SSU rRNA". It matches the Rfam family "Bacterial small subunit ribosomal RNA". Lineage: Bacteria; Bacillati; Actinomycetota; Actinomycetes; Micrococcales; Intrasporangiaceae. The record is from RNAcentral.